UGUGGGAGCGGGCUUGCUCGCGAAGGCGGUGUGUCAGAUACAUUGAUGUUGGCUGAUACGACGCCUUCGCGAGCAAGCCCGCUCCCACA
RNAcentral lists this non-coding RNA (89 nucleotides) under Pseudomonas baetica. Lineage: Bacteria; Pseudomonadati; Pseudomonadota; Gammaproteobacteria; Pseudomonadales; Pseudomonadaceae. The record is from RNAcentral.